AUUCAGCCGAUGACGUCGCGAGCAAGGAGGAGAGGAGGAGUACAGCUCCCCGCCCGGCGCUGGAGAAAGGUAAGUGUUUAACCCCUUCCUCUCUCCAGAGCCCGGCGGGAGGGGGUCCCUGAGGGUGGGAGCACCCUCAGGGCACUAUAGUGCCAGGAAAACAAGUAUGUUUUCCUGGCACUAUAGUGGUCCUUUAACUCCAUGGCGAUUUGACUGUGUUUGUGGCAUCUGAGCACUGUUCGGAUAUAGUGAGCGCCCAAAUCCAAGCUAUCUGGGGAUAGGUUGAAUGUGGGGGUUCUGUUAAGUAUAAUAGGAAUUAUGUAUUUUUAUGUGUUUUUACUGUUGUUGUGAAUAGAGCUAUUUUCUGUAUGCUGGAGGUUAUUGACUUACCACACCCAAGCCAUUCUUGCAGAUGGUCACAAAGGGACUUUCAACUAACUUUUGACCCACUGGACCAAUUUGUAUGAUUUUGGCGUAUGUUUGUAUUUGGAGUAUGCUGAUUUUGAAAAUGUAUGUGAAUGUGAUGUAUACUUUCAGAGUUAUGAAUAUUGUGUAAAACUGUGUAUUUUCCUGCCUGUGAUAAUUAAGUUAGACCAUUGUGUUCAGUAAUUAUAUCACAGGCAGAGGGGAGGUUUUUGUGUGGGGAUGUCUGAGUGUAUUGUAUGUAUUGAUUGGUUGUUCUGCAAAACACUGUGGGCAGUACUGUGUGUGUAAAAUGUGCAUAAAAGCAGAAUGUUUGAUUAAAAGCUACAGUUCUUCUUCACCCUCACACGUAGUCUUGUUUCGUGAUUGGAGGGCACAACUAAACUCACACUGGGGAUUGCUAUGCUCUGCAUACUCCCCUGAGCUGUAAUCACUUAGCUCUUUUAAGAGCUUGUUCCUGUUACGCUCUCCUGGAGAAGAGGUCUUCACCACAAGGUCCUGGAGGACAAAAGUUGAUCCAGGGUGGACGAGGACGGUGAGACUCCAGUUAAGCUACGGUGGUUGUGGUGUCUGGUGUGGUGCUUGUGGUCCUCGGCGCAAGCUAGGAAGCGUCCAUCAACGGAAGGGCUUAUAUGAUACUUGCCAUUGCAAACCUGGAGGCCACAGUCCCUAGUUGUAAAUUUCAACUAUCCAGGGCAAAAUUUACACUCGCUAAUGGUUAACCCCUUAAGGACCAAACUUCUGGAAUAAAAGGGAAUCAUGACAUGUCCCACAUGUCAUGUGUCCUUAAGGGGUUAAAGGAAAGUGGGAAUAUUGAGCUCUGUGUAGCAUAUAAAUCAGUGAGACACGAGGUCUCUAUAAGGAGGCAAGUAAAGUAACCUUUAAAUUGUAAGCUCACAGUCUAUCUUGACAAGUACUUUGUAGAAAAGAGCUUUAAUGGCUAGAUCUCAAGUCAUGGGCAGGGCCUUCAUUACCGUUUGUAUUGAUUUGUGUUUAUUUUACUGUCCUGUUUCUCAUUUGAACAGCUCUGUGGAAAAUGUUAGUUUUUAAUAAAUGCAUUCAUUAUAUGAUCUAAUUGAUGGUGUCUGGCCUUCCAAAUGAAAAUAAUGAUGACAAUCUUUUAGUAGAAUGAUUUGUUUUAGUUAUGUUAAAAACAUUGUGUGGUUAUUAUGAAAUGGUAACCAGAAUUAGUUCAUGUAGACAAUUAAUUUCCGUGUAUAUGUUCUACUGCCAGGCUGGGAACCUUAUGCAUGAAUAUCUGAAACAGCAGCAUCAAACACAGCCCGAAUCAUGUAGACAGUGGGUGCAAAGUCAAGAUAUCCAUGCGUUAAAGGAGAAGAGACUAAACUUUAUUGCUGGAAUUUGAAACAACAUCAAACACAGCCAGAAUCACAUACACAUAGGGAGCUGAGUAGAGAGAUUUGUGGGUUCAUGGAGCAGAGGUUUAACAUUACUGCUCAUUGAAGAAACAAGAUUAUGGCUCAAGAUUAUGCAAAAAAGACUUUUGGUCACAUUUUUCAUCAAAGUCAUCGUUUGGGAUUUACUUUCUACUUCUAAAUGUCUUUUGAGAACAUUUAUGGAACUUUAUUUUUCUGAAUUAAGAAAUUAAACUGUCAUGUUAUCUAAUGUUAUAGUCAUUUGCAAUUUAAUUCUAAGGCUGGAAAUGAUUGGGUAUCAC
Molecule: long non-coding RNA, 2101 nt
Filed under: Pelobates cultripes (western spadefoot toad)
Lineage: Eukaryota; Metazoa; Chordata; Amphibia; Anura; Pelobatidae
Source: RNAcentral